Molecule: long non-coding RNA, 1855 nt
Organism: Sipha flava (yellow sugarcane aphid)
Lineage: Eukaryota; Metazoa; Arthropoda; Insecta; Hemiptera; Aphididae
Exons: 5
Source: RefSeq, a predicted model, not a curated record
UUUUCCGGGGUUACUUAUAAGAGGAAUUUUUGUUUUCAAUUUUUAGGAUUGUAAUUUGUUAAAUUACUUGAAAAGCGCUACUGAAGGAAAGGCUUUAUUAGCAACUUAUAAUGCUGAUGGUUUGUUGGACAAUAGUGGACGAAGAAAAAUUUGUAAUUUAACUGUCAAAAGAGAGCUUCAAGAAGAUUCUGAAAAAUCGGUUAAAACUCAAAGAUUACUUUUUUUUAUCUCAAGAGAACAAAAGUUUCCCCUAAAGAACAUUUAAGUGCAUAUUUCAUACUCUACAUGUACUAUGACCCGUCAAUAAAAAAAGCAGCUAAAGGAAACUUCUUGAUUGCUUCAACAACAAAAGAAGAUAAUCUUUGACCAAUCGUUCCCCUUAUUUUGAAAAUUCUUCGGCUUCACUUUUGUUGAAUCAGACUACAUCAGAAAUUGUAAAUUUCGAUGAACAAAUACAAUGGUUAAAUAAUUUGUGUGACCCUUGGAAUUUGAUACAGAAAUAUUGGAAAUCACUAGAACUAAACGUUUAAAAGAUAUACUCAGUUUAAAUUCUAAAGGUGCUACUCAACCUUCUGAUUACAUGAAAAGUUUUCCAGCUUUAAAAAAUCUGUCUGGCUAUAUUUUUUUUAUAGAAGAUUUUAACUCCAUCUAUACAGAAAGAAAGGAAAACUGUUUUGAAAAUUUCCCUGUGUACAAAGACAAGAUUCUUCAAUUAAGACAAAAAAUAUAUAAUACACUCAAGAAUACUAGUUAAAAGUGUAUUAUAAAAGACUAUCUAAAUCUGGCAAUAGAACCCGGAGAAACUUCAUCUGUAGCAGCGUUUAUCAUACUUCUAUUACUCUUCUUUCCUGUUACAACCAAGAGGAAAAAAGGAAUACCUGCUUGGAGACCUUCAAAAAUUGAAUCCAGAGAUGGCUUAUUACACAUACAAAAUCAAAUUCAGAAUUUAUUGAGACAAUUAUAAGACGGAAACAAAAGUAUAAUCGAUUAGGUUUAACUUUACAGCCUCUUAUUAUAAUAGUAGGACCUAGUAUUAAUGAAAUUUCUAAAUAUUUUGUUCUUGUUAACGAUACAUAUUAUGUUUUAAACUCAAUUGUAACUACAGUAGAUACUUGUUUCAACAUUUUUCAUGCUUUAAAUUUACUUUAUCCGGUAGAAAGUUUGCCCAUAUGGAAUUUUAUUCAAAAAGAUUUUUAUAAAAUAAAAACUGCUCAUAAUUCAGAUUACGUUUCUGUUAAUUCUCUGCUCAGUGAUCUAGACAUUAAUUUUAUUUAAUAACUUAAAUUAUUAACUAAGCCAAUUCCUCUAGUAUCGACGUAAUAUUUGUAUGAGUUAGGCUAUUAGGCAACAACUACUUUUCGACAAUCUGUUUAUUAAGGGAAAUUUAGGUAAUACUAUUGAAUCAGUUUCUUCUAACAACUUAAUUAGUGAAACUGAUAUCCAAAAUAUAAAAAGAUUUAUGGUAAUAGAUUCUUUAGAUUCACUUAUUAGUUGUUCUUGGAUUUCUAUUAAAGAUACUAAGUAUCAAAUCAAAAUGAUUCUUACUCUUGAUGUAAACCAAAAUAGUCUCCCUGAGUUUAGUAUCAUAAAUGAUGUAUAUUUUUAUAAUAAUACAGUAGUUGUAUUUAAAUGUUUAAAAUUAAAUAUUGAUUUUGAUGAGAAUUUUUGUUCAUAUGAAGUAAUUACACCUAGAAUUAAUGAAGUCCUUAUAUAUCAUAUGCUCUAUUCUCAUAUUCCUAAUAAUGCCAGUGUACUGUCAAAUGGCUCUACAUGUGUUACAUUGAGAAGUGCCAUUUAAUAUUAUUGUUAUUCACUUGUGCAGUAACUAUAAGUUUAUUUACAUCCUUCAGAUUCU